Long non-coding RNA from Poecilia latipinna (sailfin molly), 1059 nucleotides. RefSeq lists it as uncharacterized. The transcript is spliced from 3 exons. The record is from RefSeq and is a predicted model, not a curated record. NCBI's taxonomy places the organism in Eukaryota, Metazoa, Chordata, Actinopteri, Cyprinodontiformes, Poeciliidae.
UAAUCCACAUCGGGAAAGUAAAACCCUUCAAACAUAGUCCGCUGUGGGACAUAUAAAAGUCACUUUUAAGCGGUUCUGUUUUGAAAUAUAAACACUCGACAAACUUUUAAAAUUUAACAUCUCAAUAGCGCUAAUUUAGCAGAGCUACGUGGCGGAGCAGCUUCAGUUUCUGCUAAUUGACCUUAAGCUCUCGGCUUUUCCCGGAGCUCUUAACAUCCCGGCUGUCAGCCACUUCCUUACUGGAGAUGUUGUUUGCACUUCUGCUUAUAAAUCUUAAACUGAAAGAGAAACGAACACUGCUGGAUCUGCUCGCUCAAAGGCUGGUGAUCGAUGUCUUAACCCAAAAAGAAGAACAGAUGGUGGGCUGGUUCCCAUAGCAGCGCUGUCGAUCUCUGCACCCUCCGAUGGCCACCAUUGCACUAUAACAUAAAAAGCUGACAAAAAGCAGAAACCUCCUCAGAAAUCCGCUGUGCUACAUGCAAGAUGGCAGCCUUAUGUGAAUAGCCAGAUGCUUCCCCAAAGAAUCAUAUCAAGUUUCUGGGUAACGUCUCCAAUCGUCCUAAAUGGAACGACAAGAAAACCAACCAUCAUUGUUCUUUCAGAUAAUCAGACGUGGCUGAUUACCCCAAGCCUGAAACCACACGCUAAACUUGAGUAAUGCAAUGUUUGUCUUAGAUGGACACAUAAGGACACACUGUCAUCGAUCUUUCCAGAACUUACAGCGGUAUAGUUUGCCAAGAGGAAUAAUUCAAAAAUCUUGUAACCUUUUUUUAUUUUUAUGGGAAAGUAGUCGUGUUCUCUGCAGAAGAAGAGGGGAUUGUAAUUACUUUUGGAAACAGUGUAGUUUUUGUGAAUGAGGUUUGGCAAUAAAAAGGCAAUACAUAACCUCAAAAAGCCCAACUAGAGAAAUAUUUUAUGAAAGUUACGGACUUAACAAGAGUGUUAGACUUUUUCUUUGUCUUCCACCCUAGACGACUGUUCAUGAAUGAAACGAGGAGGUUAAUUGAGAUGAUUUAUAUUCUGCUGCAGAUGAAAACAUAAAGGUCAACAUACCAGAAG